This 479-nucleotide ribosomal RNA is filed under the name uncultured bacterium. RNAcentral's name for it is "partial 16S ribosomal RNA". It matches the Rfam family "Bacterial small subunit ribosomal RNA", at positions 28 to 507 of the family's 1533-position model. The record is from RNAcentral.
GAUGAACGCUAGCGGGAGGCCUCAAAAAUACAAGCCGAGCGGUAUAUAUUCUUAGGAAACACACACAAGGAAAAAAGAUGAAGAACACAUAUGCACCCUGCCUUAACCUAGGGGAUAGCCUUUCGCACGGAAGAUUAAUACCCCAUAAUAUAUUGAGUGGCAUCAUUUGAUAUUGAAAACUCCGGUGGAUAGAGAUGGGCACGCGCAAGAUUAGAUAGUUGGUGAGGUAACGGCUCACCAAGUCAAUGAUCUUUAGGGGGCCUGAGAGGGUGAUCCCCCACACUGGUACUGAGACACGGACCAGACUCCUACGGGAGGCAGCAGUGAGGAAUAUUGGACUAUGGGUUAGCGCCUGAUCCAGCCACCCCGCGUGAAGGACGACGGCCCUAUGGGUUGUAAACUUCUUUUGUGUGGGGAUAAACCUACUCUCGUGAGAGUAGCUGAAGGUACUAUACGAAUAAGCACCGGCUAACUCCGUG